GGCACCUGUAGUCCCAGCUACUCAGGAGGUCAAGGCAGGAGAAUGCGUGAACCUGGGAGGCAGAGGUUGCAGUGAGCCAAGAUUGCGCCACUGCACCCCAGCCUGGACAACAGAGCAAAACUCUGCCUCAAAAAAAUAAAAAGUAAAUAAAAAUAAAGUGGAGGGGAAGGGAUGAAAUUCAGGUAGGAUGGCAAAGGAAGGCCUCAACGAGAGAGUGACUAAGGAAGUGGAGGCCAGAGCCAUGCAGAUAGCAUGAAUGUGAGGCCAAGGGAAUGUUAGAAUGUGAGGCCAAGGGAACAAUAAGUGCUAAGGCCCAGAGGCAGGACUGUGCCUGGUGUGUUGUGUGUUACUCAAUAAAGGAAUUGUUUUUCUCCUGAAUUACUUAGAAGAAGAAAAAAAAAUGCUUCAAGCUUCUGUUUUACUUUGUCUGUUGAAAACCAACCUGAAGAUUCCAGGAAGAAAGCAUAGAAGUCACCAUUCAAACUGCAAAUAAGAGGCAGCAGCAUUCAUGAACAAAGGAAAGCUGCAGGAACAUUUGAGAUACAGAAUGUAAGCACCACUGAAGACAGAGACUUCUGUUCACAGAUAUCAUCCCUGUGCUUAUAACAGUGCCCGACAUACAGUAAGUGCUCAAUAAAUAUUUGUUCAAUUAAUUCAUUCACUCUACAAGUAUAUACUUAAUAUAACAAAUAAUGUAACUUAAAAUACCUUACUCCUCUAAUUGGAAUUUACACUCUGUGAAGUAGAGGUCUUUGACUUCUUUGUUCACUGCUGUGUCCCCAGAAUCUAGAAUGGCACCAGGUAGCAAAGGUGUUCAAUAAAAAUCUGUUGAAUAAAUGAACGAAUGGAUAGGAACUCAUUGAGUACCUUUUAGUACCAAGUACUAAGUGAGGUGCUUGGGGAUUCUAGAUAUUUUAAAUAACUAACUAUGAUGCAAUGGGAUAAAUAUAAAUAAUAGAAGUAGGAACAAAAUGGCAUGGGAACUCAGGAGCAAUGGCACUGAAGAUCAUUCUUCACGCCUGAGUCUGAAAGAAGACACAGAUGUUUAUCUGCUCCCUGUGCCAGGUAAAGGGCCACAAAGGGAUUAAAGUGUAUGGUAUGGCGCAAUGUUUCUCAACUGUUAUUUCCAUAUGAGUUACCUGGGGACUCUUGUUAAAACAGACUCUGGUUUGAUGGGCCUGAGGUAAGCCCUAAGAUUUCACAUCUCUAACAAGGUGUUGUUGAGGCUGCUGGUCCUCAAACCACACACUGACUGACAAAUGUACACAACUCGGCACCCAUCCCCCUUAUUUCUUUUUACUAGACUAAAAUUUUGUCUAUGUAUCUAACACUCCCUCCUCCAGUAUGGAGAGGAAGUGGUUCUAGUCCCAGCUCCAGGGUUAGACUGGAUUUGAGCUUGGCCAAUCAGGACAAGGCAUUCUUUUGACUGAUUACUGGGUGAGAAUGGGAAUGGGAAGUAAGGAUGCAUGAUCUGUUUAGGGGAAAGGUUUUCCUUUCUAUGCUGCUGUCCUUAAACAAAGAAGCGUAUGGCUUGAUGGCUACAGGCAGCCAUCCUCCAACAUGAGAAGCAUGAGCCUCAAGAUGAACCGAAUGCCAAGGGUGCUGAGUGGAGAGGGGGAGAGAACCUGGGUCCUUGAUGAUCACUUAGCUGCUGAUUGUGUUGAUCCUGGAAUCUACUCUACCUCUGAUCUUUCAGCUGGAGUUGCAUAAUCUUCAAAGAAGAGUCCCUGGAGAGUCAUAACCAGAAAUGUUGGUUCAACACACACACUUGCUGUGCAAGACUCCUGGCCUUCAUCCAGACUCCUUGGGACAAGGUGUCCACAUGCACCUGAAUGCCGCCAAGGAGAUGCCAGGUAAGAAGAUUUUCACAUAGGUAUUUCAGUGUACAAACCUGUUGCACCACAUGUGCCCACUCAGGUAUUAAACUGAAUCCCUUUCCACACUGCAAUGUGACUGAACCUGAGGAAAAUAAUCUUCCACACCAGGCACAAAUGAAUAUUUCUGCUUAGGAGCAACCAGAAGUCCAGGAGUGAGAACAGAGUUCUCCAAGGCAAUUGCCUCUGGCAGCCACAGGCUGAGAUACCUGGGGUCUGUCUUUACUGAGAGACCUUGAAACCCUUAAGCCUCUUUUGGCCUCUAUUUUCUCAUCGCAAAAACACGGAGGCUGGAUUUAUCAGGUGGGAACUGCUUUAAGAUUCUAUGAUACUUUAGUUUGUUUCUAUCCAAACAUUCUCAUGGUAAUCCAAUAAAUUAAGGUGAAAUUUAUUGCAGUGAUUGAUUAUUCAGUUAAAGCCAAUUCAAAAAAAAAAACAAAAACCCGAGUUUAUCACUAUGCAAUAUGUCCAUGUAACACAUCUGCACUUGUACUCCCUAAAUCUAUAAAGAUAAAAAAUAUAUUAAAAAAACAAAAACCAGCCAGGUGCGGUGGCUCACACCUGUAACCUCAACACUUUGGGAGGUGAGGCAGGCAGAUCCCUUGAGGAGUUUGAGACCAGCCUAGGCAACAUGGCAAUACCUCAUCUCUACAAAAAAUACAAAAAUAGAGGCUAAGGUGGGAGGAUCGCUCACUCGAGCCUAGGAGGUUGAGGCUGCUGUGAGUUGUGAUUGUGCCAUUGCCUUCCAGCUUGGGCAACAGAGCAAGACCCUGUCUUAAAACAAAAAAAUGAAAAAACCUGUAAGCUACACUUGUGUGCAAGCACAUGCCUACACACACACACACACACACACACACACACACUCUCUCUCUCUCUCUCUUCACUCUUAAAAUACGGGGCUUGAAAUUAUUUCAGUUGUUUGUUCACACAGGCCCAAAUUGCUCAACACUGGGUUUCAUGUUGCCGCUAUUGACAUGUUAAUUGUACUGGAUUGUUUUCUGUCCUCUCAACUGUCCUCAUCUCUCUUUAAGCAGAAUGGAUUUCUAAACAUGGGUCCUCAAAACAGGAUGGUGGAGCCAGCCCCACAUGCUUGGGGGCAUGUAAGAGCUAAACGUGCUGAUAUGCUGAAUAUGUGCCUGAAAGAUGGAUGUGACACAAGGACAAUAAACAGUGGUUGAUUGAAGGAAAAAUUCCUGAAAAAUUGAAGGCAAAUACAUCUUUCACUAAACAGAAUCAAAUUUUAUGUGUUGUAGGACAAGUAUCCAGGACUACAUUUUAAAAAUGUAAAUGUAAAAAGAACACUGGAUUUAGGUCCAAAUUCAUUUCUGCUACUUACUGUGCAACUUUGGGCAAGAUCCUUAAGCACUGUCUCUGAGCUUUGGUUUCUUCUCUAAAAGUGUAGAUUAGACACCCACCUCAAAGGAAAGGGUGGUUGUGAUGGUUAAUACUAAGUGUUAACUUGAUUGGAUUGAAAGAUACAAAGUAUUGAUCCUGGGUGUGUCUGUGAGAGUGUUGCCAAAGGAGAUAAACAUUUGAGUCAGUGGGCUGGGAAAGGCAGACCCACCCUUAAUCUGGGUGGACACAAUCUAAUCAGCUGCCAGCACCACUAGAACAUAAAAAGAGAGACUGGCCUAACCUCCCGGACUAUAUCUUUCUCCCAUGCUGGAUGCUUCCUGCCCUCGAACAUCGGACUCCAAGUUCUUCAGUUUUGGGACUUGGACUGGCUCUCCUUGCUCCUCAGCCUGCAGACGGCUUACUGUGGGACCUUGUGAUCAUGAUAGCUUUUCCAGAAACUAUGAAAGGCAGAAGAAAAUUCCUCCUGUUUCAAAGACCUACAAAGCAGUAGCAGAUUCACCAACUUCUGCUGCAGAUGCUACAAGAAGCCUUUAUUCACUGUCUCAAAUGCAUUUUUUUUUCCUGCUUUGGCAUAACCCUGCAAAAGCUAAGGAGAGCAAGUGUCCUCAAAAGAAAGGGAGUGUUAAAACCCCGUUUAAAAAAAUACGAAAACUGGCCCGUCGUGGUGGCUCACGCCUGUAAUCCCAGAAAUUUGGGAGACCGAGGCGAGUGGAUCACUUGAGGUCAGGAGUUCGAGACCAGCCUAGCCAACAUGGUGAAACCCGUCUCUACUAAAAAUACAAAAAUUAGCUGGGUGUGGUGGCAGGCACCUGUAAUCCCAGCUACUUGGGAGGCUGAGACAGGAGAAUAGCUUGAACCCAGGACGCGGAGGUUGCAGUGAGCUGAGAUCACGCCACUGCACUCUAGCCUGGGUGACAGAGCAAGACACCACCUCAAAACAAGCAAGCAAACAAACAAACAAACAAAAAACCACUUCAGCUUCUAGCGUAGUGCUGGACAUGCAGUGAAGGAUGCCAAAAAGUUUAAGAAGGAAAAUGGAACAAGCACUGUGUCUACAGUCUUCACAACUGAGACUUAGUUUCUCUUCCUGCAGUGUAAAUAUAAUUGCCCUCCCUGUCUCCACUGGUUAUUGAGAGGACCACAUGACCAUGAGUAGCAGCAAUACAUUACCUAAGUUAUUAUUAUUAUUGUUAUUCAUCAUGCAUUCAACAAAUACUGAGAUCACUGUUCUAGGCUCUGGGGAUAUAGCAUUAAAUCAUCAGACUAAGAUGUCUGCCCCUCGUGCAGCUUCCUAAGUAAUUGUAAGAUAUUUUUAGUUUGGGAAUAGUUCUAAGUAGAAAAUAAACAGAGCAAAGUAAUUAAAAACAAAACAAAACAAAACAAUAAACAGGGUGGAGAUGGGAGUGGUUCUAGGUUAGUCAGUCCUUUUUGAUGGGGAUUUGGGAGCUGAGUCCUGAGCAAUGGGAAAGAGCCAAUCAUGAACAGAUGUGGAGGAGGAGCAUCUGUUCUGGGAAGAGCAUCUGCACUUCUUCAUGCAGGUUCUGAGUUGGGCAUGAGAUUGACAUGUCAAUGGACUAGAAAGACAGCCCAUGUUCUUGGAGCACAAUGAGCAAGGGAGAGGGACAGAGGAUGAAGUCAGAAAACAGACGGAAACCAGUGCAUCUAGGUCAUGGUAAGGAUUAUUCCAGAAAUCUGCUGAAAUGCAGAUGUUCCUGUUUAAUUGCCUUGACACACAAUAGGCACUUAACAAAUAUUUAUAUUCAUUGAUUUCCUACAGACAUAAUGUCUUAGAUAAAUAUGUGAUCUAACAGUCAUCUAAUUGACCAGGGCUCUGAGCAAAUGGCAGAUGUACCAGCAUAGCCUUUUUAAAGAGGACAGUAAUGCAGGCUGCAUUCCAGGGAGCAGAAUCCAGAGGUGGGCUUCUCAUCUGUAAUGGAUUGAACGUUUGUGACCCCCAAAAAUUCAUAUCUUUAAAUCCUAACCCCCAAUUUGAUGAUGGUAUUUGGAGGUUAGCCUUGGUCACGAGGAUGGACCGCUUAAGAACGGGAUUAGUACACUUUUAAAAGAAACCUCAGAGAGCUCAUUUGCACUAUUUGUCAUUUGAGGACAUGGGAAGGACCAGAAAGAGGCCCUCAUCAGACACCGGAUCUGGCAGCUCCUUCAUCUCGAAUAGCCCAGCCUCUAGAACCGUGAGAAAAUAAAUUUCUGUUGUUCAUAAGCUAUCCAGUCUAUGGUAUUCUGUUAUAACAACCCAAACAAGCUAAGACAUCAUCCAUCUUGGAAGAAACCGCUCCUAUUUCACUGUAAAUUGCAGAUUCCACCAACACCCUGCCAAACACCAAGAACUGAGCUCAAGCAAUGCAACUUUGAGCAAGUGAAUUACCUAGUAACA
RNAcentral lists this long non-coding RNA (5622 nucleotides) under Homo sapiens (human). Its description in RNAcentral is "HSALNT0140916". The record is from RNAcentral. Lineage: Eukaryota; Metazoa; Chordata; Mammalia; Primates; Hominidae.